RNAcentral lists this small RNA (134 nucleotides) under Streptomyces sp. HGB0020. RNAcentral describes it as "Streptomyces-metH RNA". It matches the Rfam family "Streptomyces-metH RNA". Lineage: Bacteria; Bacillati; Actinomycetota; Actinomycetes; Kitasatosporales; Streptomycetaceae. The record is from Rfam by way of RNAcentral.
CUCGUCCGCCCCGUGGACGCCCCGGACAUCCCCGGGCGGACCCGGUUACCCUGGCGUGGUGCGCCCGCCGCGGGAAGGCCUGCGGCACGGGCGCAAAGCCGACAGCCGUCGCACUCAGAGGGAGCCCCUUCAUG